GGAGAGCAAUGCAGACUCACCCACACAAAUUCUUGACCUUUAAAGCGUGCAGCUGUUCUCAGGCAACUUGAAAACUCAUUCUUUUCCCCCACCAGCUCACCAGUUGCAAAUGCUUCCUCCCCUCUCCAAACCUGAGCUGUAACUUGGAUGGUUUUGCUCCAGCAAGUAACAAAAUGAAGAAGGUGAUUUGCAACCAGGAUGUUGCUCCUUGAAAUGCUGCUCCAAGCAAGGGUCCAGCAGGAACUUCAGCUGUUACCUCCCCAUGUUUCCCAGGAGGUAGGAGGAGCGCCCAGUGAAAAGCUGAGCCCAAAAUGAACAUUUUCACACAAUCCUGCGUUGCACAAGCUUUCAAAAGGCUCUGGGCUGUGGAAGGAAACAAAUGCAAUGAUUCAACUUUCAUGGAAUCUUCACAUGGGAAAUGUUGGGGGUUUUUGAAAUGCUCAGGAAGAAUUCUGACUUCUGAAAGAACUUUGGGCAGUGUAUUUGGAGUUUGAAAGGUCUGGAAGGGGAGAUUUGGGAAGUUGGUAAAGCAAAAGCUGGGCCCGUUCUCCUGACUCUUGGCUGCUUCAUGAAGUUCAGGCCAUCCCCUGAACUGAGGAGAUC
RNAcentral lists this long non-coding RNA (603 nucleotides) under Zonotrichia albicollis (white-throated sparrow). Its description in RNAcentral is "lncRNA (ENSZALG00000013143.1)". Lineage: Eukaryota; Metazoa; Chordata; Aves; Passeriformes; Passerellidae. The record is from RNAcentral.